RNAcentral lists this long non-coding RNA (266 nucleotides) under Homo sapiens (human). RNAcentral describes it as "non-protein coding lnc-CTBS-4:11". Lineage: Eukaryota; Metazoa; Chordata; Mammalia; Primates; Hominidae. The record is from RNAcentral.
GGGGCAUUUGUGAGAAGCGUGUGUGCAAAGCCUGAGAGACUCCCCUUUUGGGCAUGCUGCUGGGCAGGGGUGUUCUGGUUUGACUUUGUACAUCCUGGAAUACAGACAUGAUGGCUACCAUCUUGGACUAUGAACAUGAGGAUCACACCCAAGGGAAGGAGAGGCAGCAAGCUGGAAGGUACUAUGGAGCAGAACUGCCACAGCCUGAGUACCUACCUCUGGAACUUUCUGUGAGAAAUGAAAUGGGCCCAACAGUUCCAUAAACA